This 403-nucleotide long non-coding RNA is filed under the name Mytilus galloprovincialis (Mediterranean mussel). The record is from RNAcentral. Lineage: Eukaryota; Metazoa; Mollusca; Bivalvia; Mytilida; Mytilidae.
GAGAAGUUUUGGAUCCAUUAAAACAUUUAAUCCUGCUGCAAAUGUUUGCACCUGUCCUUAGUCAGGAAUCUGAUGUACAGUAGUUGUCGUUUGUUUAUGUAAUUUAUAAGUGUUUCUCGGUUUUCGUUUUUUUGUUUUAUAUAGAUUAGACCGUUGGUUUUCCCGUUUGAAUGGUUUUACACUAGUAAUUUUGGGGCCCUUUAUAGCUUGUUGUUCGGUGUGAGCCAAGGCUCUGUGUUGAAGGCCGUACAUUGACCUAUAAUGGUUUACUUUUUUUAAAUUGUUAUUUGGAUGGAGAGUUGUCUCAUUGGCACUCGCACCACAUCUUCCUAUAUCUAGACAAUGUGAUUUAUCAUGUAAAGUAGGUCUUCAGCAGUGGUCAAUAUCCUUCUAAUAAUGAGGU